Molecule: transfer RNA, 66 nt
Filed under: Ictidomys tridecemlineatus (thirteen-lined ground squirrel)
Lineage: Eukaryota; Metazoa; Chordata; Mammalia; Rodentia; Sciuridae
Description: Spermophilus tridecemlineatus (thirteen-lined ground squirrel) tRNA
Rfam family: tRNA
About the family: Transfer RNA (tRNA) molecules are approximately 80 nucleotides in length. Their secondary structure includes four short double-helical elements and three loops (D, anti-codon, and T loops).
Source: Rfam by way of RNAcentral
GAUAUAGCUCAGUUGGUAGAGCGCUUGCCUCACAUGCACAAGACCCUGGGUUCAAUACCUAGCAUC